This 72-nucleotide transfer RNA is filed under the name Chloroflexota bacterium. Its description in RNAcentral is "tRNA-Ser". It matches the Rfam family "tRNA". Rfam says of the family: Transfer RNA (tRNA) molecules are approximately 80 nucleotides in length. Their secondary structure includes four short double-helical elements and three loops (D, anti-codon, and T loops). The record is from RNAcentral. Lineage: Bacteria; Bacillati; Chloroflexota.
AGGAAUAUGGUGCUUGUAUCAGUCGGUCUCCAAAACCGAAGGUCGCGGGUUCGAUCCCUGCCGCUCCUGCCA